UCAGAAUCCAUGCUGGAAUAUGACGAUAAUCACCUUUCCCGAUGUGCCGCGAAUAGCGAUAGGUGUCUUCUGGACACCCAACAUCAUACAAUUGCAACGCACUCCGCUGCCUGUCAAGUACUGGCGGUGGAGAGUAGGCUGAUUUGU
RNAcentral lists this ribosomal RNA (147 nucleotides) under Phytophthora infestans T30-4. RNAcentral describes it as "28S ribosomal RNA". Lineage: Eukaryota; Oomycota; Peronosporomycetes; Peronosporales; Peronosporaceae. The record is from RNAcentral.